GGUCUCAUCAGAUGUACUUCAUGUUUGGCUUCCUUUUCUUAGUCUUUAUAAUUCUCCUGAUUAUUUGUUCAGAAGCUACUGUUCUGCUGUGUUAUUUUCAUUUGUGUACUGAGGAUUAUCAUUGGUGGUGGAGAGCUUUUUUUACCAGCAGUUUUACAGCUGUUUACCUUCUUUUGUAUGCAGUUUAUUACUUCUUUACCAAACUUCAAAUCACGGGCAUUGCAAACACCAUUUUGUACUUUGGGUACACGAUGAUCAUGGUCUUGAUUUUCUUCCUUUUCACAGGGACACUUGGAUUUUUUUCCUGCUUCUGUUUUAUUACUAAAAUCUACAGUGUGGUGAAAAUGGAUUAAAGAAUGUCCCCAGAGGCUUCCAGGCACAUCACCCUUGCUUUUGAAUAUAUAUCUGUAGCUAUAUGAACAUCUAUAGAGAUAUAUAUGUAUGCUUCCAAUUGCAUGUUUUUAAUAUCUAUCAAUUUAAAAACCUCAUUGUCCGGCCUCAGUUUGUAUGACACAAAAUACGAUUGUAUGGACAAAAAAAAAAACAGAUUGGAAGGUAGGUUCAUUCUAAGUAAUAUUUUCCUGAAACAAUACCAUAAAAGGGUUUGAUUUAAAGCAAUUAGAACAAAGGAAGCACAUUUCCUUAAAAAAUUAAAGUUGAGUAGACUGGAUUUUUGGAUGAAAAGUUUUUUCCUUUUUUUUCUUCUUCAUCUGCUUAGAGCAUCAGAACUACUGUCAAAUAACUCUUAGGUAAAAUGUGAAAUUUUCCAAUUUAAGUUGAUUGUACAAACUAUAUUACACCUUUGUA
Molecule: long non-coding RNA, 807 nt
Organism: Lagenorhynchus albirostris (white-beaked dolphin)
Lineage: Eukaryota; Metazoa; Chordata; Mammalia; Artiodactyla; Delphinidae
Exons: 3
Source: RefSeq, a predicted model, not a curated record